Molecule: long non-coding RNA, 1673 nt
Organism: Bombus huntii
Lineage: Eukaryota; Metazoa; Arthropoda; Insecta; Hymenoptera; Apidae
Exons: 2
Source: RefSeq, a predicted model, not a curated record
UGAUAAUCAAUUAUACGUUGCCUGCAUAUCACCGGCUCGUGUUCCUUAAGCAAGUUACGUCGCAUGGGGACAUACACAGUUGACCAAUCCCUGGGGAAAGAUUCUUUACGAUUUGGAAACUCAAGAGAAUAUGGCAGUCACCGAUAUCGAUCUAAAAGUUGUUGAGGAAGUAAGGGCUCAGAUACCUACAUUUUCUCAGAGACGUACAGAUUUGUACGACACUGUCUGUAAGAAGGAGUAACUCUACACUAAAACAGAAAAUGUUUUUUUAUAAUAUUUCUACUACGAUAUCCUUUUUUUGUGAAUUAUUACUAAUUUCUUAUCAUUUGUACUAAAUGAAUGACUCAAUUAAGAAAACCAAAACGUUAUAAAUAAUAAUCUGUAUAUCUUGUGUAUCAACAUGUAAUUGGAUAUUAUAAUAAUAUAGGAAUGCUAUAAUAAUAUAGGAUAAUAAUAUAGGAGAAUAGUAAUAUAGAAAAAAACUACAUGCUUUUAAACACCUUUAAUAUCGAUCACAUAAAUUGUUAUAAUUCACAAUGAUUACGCAUACAUAAAAGACCCCUUGAUAGUAAAAUUUACGAUCAAAAGGCAAUUACGUAUCGUUUAACAACAUUUAAUUUAUAACACCUUUUAAACAUUUAGACAGAUUAACACAUAACACUUCUUAUAUAGAAACAUCAAUUCGAAGUUAUCAGCUUGGAGAAAUUGGUCGAUUAAUACCUGUAGAUUGUCUGUCUCGAUGAAAGACUUAAAGAGAGCAAAAACAUGAUAAUGCCGCUAAUAUAAUAUUCCUUCUUUCUUGUAUCUGUCUGCCUCUCAGGUCGUUUUACUAAUUACAAUAAGUAAUUUCGCCUUCUUUGCGCUCUCUUUUAACGCAUUCGAGACCGAAAGAAAUUCAUAUCAGUCAGUAGGCAAGGGUAUAAUAUACAUAUUUUAUAUAUAACUUACGUAGUAAUGUAUAUAUCAUGUUAAUUUCAUAUUUUUUUCAAUAUAGAAUUAUUAUAUAUAUAUAUUUAACUGUACAUAAUACAUUAUAGAAUAACAUAGUAUAUAAUUUUAUAUUUUAAAAAUAUGAGGCAUACUAUUUAAGAUUGUCAUCGAUUUAAAAUCAAAGUAUGAAAAGGAUACCCUGGAGAGAGUAAAACACAGAAUCAUUCUAACUAAACAUUCAAAUCGUAGCGACACCUAGGUAUCGUCUUACAAUUAAAUCUCGGUCUCGAAUGGAUUAAAAUGAAAUACAUACUUGCAGCUUCAACAUCUUCAAUAUCGAGGAGAUUCAAACUUUACAAAUAAAUGUAAAUUGCGAUGUAAAACAAAGCGAUGUAAAAAGGGAAAAGGAGGAAAGAAGGAACAGGGAAGCAAAGAGAAGAAACGAAUUUUUCAUUUUCUCGAAACUGGAUCAAGUUUCAGGAAGGCCAUCCAAGUAAUUGAUGUCCUCUGUACUUAUUUGUUAAUCAUGCGCGGAAUCAGAACGAUUCGACCUCGUUCCAAAGCAAAUCGUUACUAGAGUAGAGACGGGAAUUAAUAAUUCGUGUCAAUUGUUCGAUCGUGUUCACAAAUUCAAAUGCGGUUGAGUAGCGGAAACCAUUUAUAACACGUCCCAUACAGCGUAGAUCGCAUACACGUCUUAGGAUGUAUUUUUGGUACUUAUAUAUACUCUAUAUAUAUUCUUA